RNAcentral lists this transfer RNA (65 nucleotides) under Asthenopholis sp. AST01. Its description in RNAcentral is "tRNA-Asp". The record is from RNAcentral. Lineage: Eukaryota; Metazoa; Arthropoda; Insecta; Coleoptera; Scarabaeidae.
AAAAACUUAGUUAAAAUAAUAACAUUAACUUGUCAAGUUAAACUUACCAACUUUGGUAGUUUUUA